UGCAUGUCUAAGUAUAAGCAAUUAUACAGCGAAACUGCGAAUGGCUCAUUAAAUCAGUUAUCGUUUAUUUGAUAGUACCUUACUACAUGGAUAACCGUGGUAAUUCUAGAGCUAAUACAUGCUGAAAACCCCGACUUCGGAAGGGGUGUAUUUAUUAGAUUAAAAACCAAUGCCCUUCGGGGCUCACUGGUGAUUCAUGAUAACUUCUCGAAUCGCACGGCCUUGCGCCGGCGAUGGUUCAUUCAAAUUUCUGCCCUAUCAACUUUCGACGGCUGGGUCUUGGCCAGCCGUGGUGACAACGGGUAACGGAGGGUUAGGGCUCGACCCCGGAGAAAACGCCUGAGAAACGGCGUUUACAUCCAAGGAAGGCAGCAGGCGCGCAAAUUACCCAAUGCCGACACGGCGAGGUAGUGACGAGAAAUACUGAUACAGGGCUCUUUUGGGUCUUGUAAUUGGAAUGAGUACAAUUUAAAUCUCUUAACGAGGAACAAUUGGAGGGCAAGUCUGGUGCCAGCAGCCGCGGUAAUUCCAGCUCCAAUAGCGUAUAUUAAAGUUGUUGCAGUUAAAAAGCUCGUAGUUGAACCUUGGGCCUGGCUGGCCGGUCCGCCUCACCGCGUGCACUGGUCCGGCCGGGCCUUUCCCUCUGGGGAGCCCCAUGCCCUUUACUGGGCGUGGCGGGGAACCAGGACUUUUACUUUGAAAAAAUUAGAGUGUUCAAAGCAGGCCUAUGCUCGAAUACAUUAGCAUGGAAUAAUAGAAUAGGACGUGUGGUUCUAUUUUGUUGGUUUCUAGGACCGCCGUAAUGAUUAAUAGGGACAGUCGGGGGCGUCAGUAUUCAAUUGUCAGAGGUGAAAUUCUUGGAUUUAUUGAAGACUAACUACUGCGAAAGCAUUCGUCAAGGAUGUUUUCAUUAAUCAGGAACGAAAGUUAGGGGAUCGAAAACGAUCAGAUACCGUUGUAGUCUUAACCAUAAACUAUGCCGACUAGGGAUCGGGCGGUGUUAUUUUUUGACCCGCUCGGCACCUUACACGAAAGUACAAGUUUCUGGGUUCUGGGGAGAUUCACGGUCC
Molecule: ribosomal RNA, 1070 nt
Filed under: Nakataea oryzae
Lineage: Eukaryota; Fungi; Ascomycota; Sordariomycetes; Magnaporthales; Magnaporthaceae
Description: SSU rRNA
Rfam family: Eukaryotic small subunit ribosomal RNA
Source: RNAcentral